GACGAACCGUGCGAACGUUAUUCGGAAUCAUUGGGCUUAAAGGGCGCGUAGGCGGGGAGGUAAGUCGGGUGUGAAAUCCCUCGGCCCAACUGAGGAACUGCGCCCGAGACUGCUUCUCUUGAGUCCCGGAGAGGAAGAUGGAAUUCCCGGUGUAGCGGUGAAAUGUGUAGAGAUCGGGAGGAACACCGGUGGCGAAGGCGGUCUUCUGGACGGUGACUGACGCUGAGGCGCGAAAGCGUGGGGAGCAAACGGG
RNAcentral lists this ribosomal RNA (253 nucleotides) under uncultured bacterium. Its description in RNAcentral is "partial 16S ribosomal RNA". It matches the Rfam family "Bacterial small subunit ribosomal RNA", at positions 524 to 776 of the family's 1533-position model. The record is from RNAcentral.